Molecule: long non-coding RNA, 424 nt
Organism: Chiloscyllium plagiosum (whitespotted bambooshark)
Lineage: Eukaryota; Metazoa; Chordata; Chondrichthyes; Orectolobiformes; Hemiscylliidae
Source: RefSeq, a predicted model, not a curated record
CUGCCUCCUUUCGGUUCUGGGGUUGGGAGGUGAGCAGAUCCGAGUGCGCUGGCGGGGAGGCACAAUCUGACUAAUAUCGACCGUUUCCACUAGCCAUCCGCUUGAACUGACCUUUACCAUCUCUUUCUUUUUGUAGAUCCUUGACGCUAUGAGAGCAAAGUGGCGGAAGAAGCGUAUGCGCAGGCUGAAGCGCAAAAGGCGAAAGAUGAGGCAGAGGUCCAGGUGAACAACUGCUGAAGAUGCAGUACUGCUCAGGCUUUGUUGAGUCUUUACAUGGCAAAUGGACUCUGAUGCUAUUUCUACCUUUUAUGAAGAUCAUCCAUUUUGGAGGCACCUCAGAUGCUGGUCAUGGGAAGAUAUUGAACAUUGGUCUGUUGUACUGUUCCUUUGUGUAUAGUAGUUGUGGAAUAAAAUACAAAACUCA